GCAAGCAUGAACAGGCUUUCUGUUAGCAGAAGAAUUGUGACGAAUAUUCAUGGAUUUAGAUCUGUACAGAGGACUUUAUGCAGUGAUACAGGUGUUAAAAAUCCCAAUUUGGUCAGUGAAAAGAAGCCUUUGGAAAAGCCUGGAUUAACAGAUGACAUACCACAAUAUGAUAUUGCUAUUGUUGGAGGUGGUAUGGUUGGGAUGGCUCUAGCGUGCUCCUUAGCAACUAUGCCAUUGACAAAGCAACUAACUGUUGCCAUCAUUGACAGUAAUCCUGCUUUGAUAAAUAACUUUCACAUCAAGAAAGAGGACCCCCCAGAUCCAAGGGUCAGUACAGUCACACCUGCCACCAUUUCUUUCUUCAAAGAUAUGGGUGCAUGGGAAUUUGUUCAGCAGAGCCGUCAUGCCUACUUCGAUAAAAUGCAGGUUUGGGAUUAUACUGGUCUGGGAUAUACAAGGUACAAUGCAAGAGAUGUUGAUGCAGAUGUUCUCGGGUGCGUGGUGGAGAAUAAGGUGCUACACAAAUCCCUGCUAUCAUGCAUACAGAAUACAGAUUUUCAAAAGACAAUACACUCAUCCAGGUUAAGUUCAAUAACCUUUCCUGCAAUGUCAUCAGUGACGAGCUCCAGUGGCACAUCAUCAUCUGCUAGUGGAAGUUCAGCAAAGUUGGAACUGGAUAAUGGAAACAGCAUGUAUGCGAAGUUAGUGGUUGGAGCUGAUGGGUCAAAAUCAAGUGUUAGGGAGCUGGCAAGAAUACAAACAACUGGAUGGAAGUACUCACAAAGCGCAAUCAUCUGUACAGUAGAACAUGCAGUAGAGAACUUCUGUGCUUGGCAAAGAUUUCUUCCUAAUGGACCAAUUGCACUUCUGCCCAUUGGUGAAAAAUUCAGCAAUAUUGUCUGGUCAAUGGACCCCAAGGAAGCUGUUGACCGGAGUUCAAUGUCGGAGGACGACUUUGUACAAGCAGUGAACCACGCACUGGACGAUGGAUAUGGUCCUCAACCACGGUCGAAAUCAUUUGAGGGUGGAAAUGUAUUUUCUUGGCUCAAAGCUGACAGCACAUCAUCAACACAUGAGGGCUUUGAAGUUCCACCAAAAGUUACGAAGCUAGCCUCUCAUAGAAUGGCCUUCCCUUUAUCUUUAAUGCAUGCUAAUAGCUAUGCAUCAAAACGUUUAGUCCUCAUUGGUGAUGCAGCACACACAGUUCAUCCGCUGGCUGGCCAAGGAGUUAAUAUGGGAUUUGCAGAUGCACUGUGUCUUUCUAAAGUUAUUGCUGAAGGCGUUGCAGUCGGAUCUGACAUUGGGGAGAUAACUCUUUUACAGAGAUAUGAAUCAGAGAGGAAAGCUGCAAACAUUACAAUGAUGGCAAUCCUAGAUGGUUUUCAGAAGGCAUAUUCUAUCGACUUCAUGCCAAUAAAUGUACUCAGGGCUCUUGCAUUCAAUGGGGCACAAUACAUUUCUCCACUUAAAAGGAAGAUCAUUUCAUAUGCCUCUGGCAACCAGAUGCUUCCUCUUUUCACAUGAUGUAAAACUGUUGGAUUUUCCCAAUGAUACUCUUGGUAGAAAUGUCUUAGAACUUCUGUUCAUCGAUAUGAAUAAAUAAUUUUCUUGCAAUAUGUGGAUCCAGAGAAGUAGAA
Molecule: unclassified non-coding RNA, 1637 nt
Filed under: Hevea brasiliensis (rubber tree)
Lineage: Eukaryota; Viridiplantae; Streptophyta; Magnoliopsida; Malpighiales; Euphorbiaceae
Source: RNAcentral